GUGUCAGCAGCCGCGGUAAUACCGGCGGCUCGAGUGGUGGCCGCUGUUACUGGGCUUAAAGGGUCCGUAGCUUGAUAACUGGGUCCCUUGAGAAAUCCGCCAGCUCAACUGGCGGGCGUUCAGGGGAAACUUGUUUUCUAGGGACCGGGAGAGGUGAGGGGUACUGCCGGGGUAGGAGUGAAAUCCUGUAAUCCCGGUGGAACCACCUAUGGCGCAGGCAUCUCACCAGAACGGGUCCGACAGUGAGGGACGAAAGCUGGGGGCACGAACCGGAUUAGAUACCCGGGUAGUCCCAGCCGUAAACUAUGUGCGUUAGGUGUGUCAGUGACCACGUGUCACUGAGGUGCCGAAGGGAAACCGUGAACCGCACCGCCUGGGGAGUACGGUCGCAAGGCUGAAACUUAAAUGAAUUGGCGG
This 417-nucleotide ribosomal RNA is filed under the name uncultured bacterium. RNAcentral's name for it is "bacterial SSU rRNA". It matches the Rfam family "Archaeal small subunit ribosomal RNA", at positions 455 to 871 of the family's 1478-position model. The record is from RNAcentral.